AAGGUGCGCAGAAGGCCAAAGCCUUCUACUUCAGUGCAGACCACUAAGAUCCACAAAAGGCCUCCAAUCAUUGUGAGCUGUGGGCAGGACCAGACAUCUGGGGAUGGAUGGAAUAUCAAUCCAGAGCCUCUCAGCCAGUCUGGAAGGGUGACUCGGCUGAUAGAGAAAAAUUAUGAUGAGGUGAUCUCGUCCUCCAACUCCGAUGACUUUUCCAUCGACUCCUUUACUGACUGUGAAUCUGAGUGUGAUGAUGAGGAUCAUGGAAGGAGGACACCACUGCUGAAAGUUAAGGAUGAGGAGGAUGGAAAGGUGACAAAGCUUGAAGUGAGGGAUAUGGUAGAGGACGACGAUCUGUCUCUCCACUCCUUCGAUGAGUCAGACUUCCUGCGUGAUGAUGGCAAUGAUGCCUCUACUGACGACUUUCCAGAGCCUCCAAAGGAACCACAAGUUCCACUGAAGGACCAUCAACUGGUAGGCGUCUCUUACAUUUGU
Long non-coding RNA from Coregonus clupeaformis (lake whitefish), 492 nucleotides. RefSeq lists it as uncharacterized. The record is from RefSeq and is a predicted model, not a curated record. The transcript is spliced from 6 exons. NCBI's taxonomy places the organism in Eukaryota, Metazoa, Chordata, Actinopteri, Salmoniformes, Salmonidae.